This 169-nucleotide non-coding RNA is filed under the name Nomascus leucogenys (northern white-cheeked gibbon). Lineage: Eukaryota; Metazoa; Chordata; Mammalia; Primates; Hylobatidae. The record is from Rfam by way of RNAcentral.
GCCGGGCAUGGUGGUGCAUGCCUGUAAUCCCAGCUACUCAGGAGGCUGAGGCAGGAGAAUCGUUUGGACCCAGGAGGCAGAGGUUGCAGUGAUAAUCAACCUCAGCUAUGAAAGCUGAGAUAGCACCACUGCACUCUAGCCUGGGCGACAGAGUGAGACUCUGUCUCCA